AGCGAACGCUGGCGGCAGGCCUAACACAUGCAAGUCGAACGAACCUUUCGGGGUUAGUGGCGGACGGGUGAGUAACACGUGGGAACGUGCCCUUAGGUUCGGAAUAACUCAGGGAAACUUGUGCUAAUACCGAACGUGCCCUUCGGGGGAAAGAUUAAUCGCCUUUAGAGCGGCCCGCGUCUGAUUAGCUAGUUGGUUGAGGUAAUGGCUCACCAAGGCGACGUUCAGUAGCUGGUCUGAGAGGAUGAUCAGCCACAUUGGGAGUGAGACACGGCCCAAACUCCUACGGGAGGCGGCAGUGGGGGAUCUUGCGCAAUGGGCGAAGGGCUGACGCAGCCAUGCCGCGUGAAUGAUGAAGGUCGUAGGAUUGUAAAAUUCUUUCACCGGGGACGAUAAUGACGGUACCCGGAGAAGAAGCCCCGGCUAACUUCGUG
This 434-nucleotide ribosomal RNA is filed under the name uncultured bacterium. RNAcentral describes it as "partial 16S ribosomal RNA". It matches the Rfam family "Bacterial small subunit ribosomal RNA", at positions 29 to 507 of the family's 1533-position model. The record is from RNAcentral.